Molecule: ribosomal RNA, 433 nt
Filed under: uncultured bacterium
Lineage: Bacteria
Description: partial 16S ribosomal RNA
Rfam family: Bacterial small subunit ribosomal RNA
Source: RNAcentral
AACGAACGCUGGCGGCAUGCCUAACACAUGCAAGUCGAACGAAACCUUCAGGUCUAUUGUCGCCCGGCUUCGUAACGCGUGGGAACCUUCCCUUAUGUUCGGAAUAACUCCCCGAAAGGGGUGCUAAUACCGGAUAAUGUCUUCUAACCAAAGAUUUAUCGCCUUUGGAUGGGCCCGCGUGGGAUUAGCUAGUUGUUAGGGUAAAAGCAUACCAAGGCGACGAUCCAUAGCUGGGAUGAGAGGAUGAUCAGCCACACUGGGACUGAGAAACGGCCCAGAAUCCUCCGGGAGGCAGCAGUGGGGAAUAUUGGAACAUGGGGGAAAGACUGAUCCAGCAAUGACGCGUGAGUGAUGAAGGCAUUAGGGUUGUAAAGCUCUUUUACCCGGGAUGAUAAUGACAGUACCGGGAGAAUAAGCUCCGGCUAACUCCGUG